RNAcentral lists this ribosomal RNA (242 nucleotides) under uncultured bacterium. RNAcentral's name for it is "partial 16S ribosomal RNA". It matches the Rfam family "Bacterial small subunit ribosomal RNA", at positions 535 to 776 of the family's 1533-position model. The record is from RNAcentral.
CAAGCGUUGUUCGGAAUUACUGGGCGUAAAGGGCGCGUAGGCGGCCUGCUAAGUCGAACGUGAAAUCCCUGGGCUCAACCCAGGAACUGCGUCCGAUACUGGUUGGCUUGAAUCCGGGAGAGGGAUGUGGAAUUCCAGGUGUAGCGGUGAAAUGCGUAGAUAUCUGGAGGAACACCGGUGGCGAAGGCGGCAUCCUGGACCGGUAUUGACGCUGAGGCGCGAAAGCCAGGGGAGCAAACGGG